This 253-nucleotide ribosomal RNA is filed under the name uncultured bacterium. RNAcentral describes it as "partial 16S ribosomal RNA". It matches the Rfam family "Bacterial small subunit ribosomal RNA", at positions 524 to 776 of the family's 1533-position model. The record is from RNAcentral.
UACGUAGGUGGCGAGCGUUAUCCGGAAUUACUGGGCGUAAAGGGCGCGUAGGCGGCCUGCUAAGUCGAACGUGAAAUCCCCGAGCUCAACUCGGGAACUGCGUCCGAUACUGGCAGGCUUGAAUCCGGGAGAGGGAUGCGGAAUUCCAGGUGUAGCGGUGAAAUGCGUAGAUAUCUGGAGGAACACCGGUGGCGAAGGCGGCAUCCUGGACCGGCAUUGACGCUGAAGCGCGAAAGCCAGGGGAGCAAACGGG